This 514-nucleotide ribosomal RNA is filed under the name uncultured microorganism. RNAcentral's name for it is "bacterial SSU rRNA". It matches the Rfam family "Bacterial small subunit ribosomal RNA", at positions 9 to 517 of the family's 1533-position model. The record is from RNAcentral.
GAGUUUGAUCGUGGCUCAGAUUGAACGCUGGCGGCAGGCCUAACACAUGCAAGUCGAGCGGAUGAAGGGAGCUUGCUCCUGGAUUCAGCGGCGGACGGGUGAGUAAUGCCUAGGAAUCUGCCUGGGUAGUGGGGGAUAACGUCCGGAAACGGGCGCUAAUACCGCAUACGUCCUGAGGGAGAAAGUGGGGGAUCUUCGGACCUCACGCUAUCAGAUGAGCCUAGGUCGGAUUAGCUAGUUGGUGGGGUAAAGGCCUACCAAGGCGACGAUCCGUAACUGGUCUGAGAGGAUGAUCAGUCACACUGGAACUGAGACACGGUCCAGACUCCUACGGGAGGCAGCAGUGGGGAAUAUUGGACAAUGGGCGAAAGCCUGAUCCAGCCAUGCCGCGUGUGUGAAGAAGGUCUUCGGAUUGUAAAGCACUUUAAGUUGGGAGGAAGGGCAGUGAGUUAAUACCUUGCUGUUUUGACGUUACCAACAGAAUAAGCACCGGCUAACUUCGUGCCAGCAGCCG